AUUGAACGCUGGCGGCAGGCCUAACACAUGCAAGUCGAGCGAGCGGCGGACGGGUGAGUAAUGUAUGGGGACUGCCCGAUAGAGGGGGGUAACUACUGGAAACGGUGGCUAAUACCGCAUACUGUCGGAAUACCCAUUUGGGACUAGCUAGUAGGUAAGGUAAUGGCUUACCUAGGCGACGAUCCCUAGCUGGCCUGAGAGGAUGAUCAGCCACACUGGAACUGAGACACGGCCCAGACUCCUACGGAGGCAGCAGUGGGGAAUAUUGCAAAAUGGGCGAAAGCCUGAUGCAGCCAUGCCGCGUGUAUGAAGAAGGCCCUAGGGUUGUAAAGUACUUUCAGUCGGGAGGCGUUACCGACAGAAGAAGCACCGGCUAACUCCGUGCCAGCCGCCGCGGUAAUAC
Molecule: ribosomal RNA, 403 nt
Filed under: uncultured bacterium
Lineage: Bacteria
Description: partial 16S ribosomal RNA
Rfam family: Bacterial small subunit ribosomal RNA
Source: RNAcentral